CUCUCUUUCUCUCCCUCGAUGACUCCCCGUUUCUGUCGUGAUCUUCCCCCGUCGAUGAAGACUCAGCCUCUGUCUCGUGAUCUUCACCGACGAUGAAGACUCCGCCUCUGUUCUCUCUCUCGGUGGAUCUCCUCGGUUGUCUGCGAGGAAAUCAAAUCGAAAGGUAAACGUUUGUAUUAUUCUUUUUAUGUUUGAAUCCUUCUUUGUUAUUUGAUUUGUUUGUUGUCUCAGUUACUAGUGAUUAAUUUGUGUUUGUCUCUAUUUGUGUUUCUUAAGAUGAAAUUAUCAACAGACAUGAAGGUUCGUUAAAGAAGAUGACUACAACCGCAAAAAAGGUAAAACAUAUAUCUUCAAAUUCAUAAAGAUAUGUCUCUGUCUCUUGUGUUUGUUUUCGAAAUGGAUUCAACGUUUUUUAAAGAGCUUUGUGUUUCAUUUGUUGGUCGUUUAUGAUAUAGAGUGAACGUUUUUAGGACUGUGGUCUCGUUUGCCUUGAUUGUCAUUUUAAAAAGCUCUGUGUUUUAUUUGUUUCUCAUUUGUUAUUUGCUUCUGUUUGUGUCUCUAUUGAGCUGCGUGGAUCAAGAGGCAAACGAGGAAGGAUCGUCAAAGCAGAGGAGUGCAUAAGCUAGAGCAUUGAACCCGUGUAAUAAACAUGUAAAUGUUUUACUUCUUUUAAAGUCAAUGAAAGCUUUAGGGUUGAGUUAGGUACGUAAAUGUUUUGGCUCUGUUGGCAUUGAACCCGUGUUGGCAUUGAAGUGAUUGUCUCUUUGAUGUGUUGAAAUGAAUAAAGGAUUGGUUAUGGUUGAGGAAGAGAGUUAAAUGACUUGCUUAGGGUUUGAUAAUGAAUUGAUUUGUCGAUGAUAAAUGACUUGCUUUGUCAUUGAUUAUUGUUGUGAAAUGGUAAUUAAUUUAAGUUAGAUACAUGUCAACUCGAAUCUGGUUGUUGUUAGUUGUUUUGAGUGUUGAAUGUUAUCGUUUAUUUCUCUAGUCUCUCUUCCUUCUUUAAAACUCUUUCCUUCCUUUUCAAUUCCAACAGAUUCCUAUCUGUUAUUUCUCUAGUCUUUCAAGGUUGACUUUGUAUUUUAAAAUGUUAUGUUUGAC
This 1098-nucleotide long non-coding RNA is filed under the name Brassica napus (rape). RNAcentral's name for it is "long non-coding RNA (BNAP_LNC015949)". Lineage: Eukaryota; Viridiplantae; Streptophyta; Magnoliopsida; Brassicales; Brassicaceae. The record is from RNAcentral.